GGAUUUGUAAUCACAUAAGCAACACGACGGGUGCCGCAUGUGGAGCAGGAUCUGCUUACCCUUCCGGAGCACCUGAGAUCACCCCUAGUUUUUGGUGGGGUUCGUGUUGUUUAUUCUUUAGUUUUCUAUGUUGUGUUAUGUGUACUAUUGUUUUUCUGUUUGUCUUUUUCAUUUUUAGCCAUGGCGUUGUCAGUUUGUUUUAGAUUUAUGAGUUUGACUGUCCCUUUGGUAUCUUUCGUCCCUCUUUCAAAAG
RNAcentral lists this long non-coding RNA (253 nucleotides) under Mytilus galloprovincialis (Mediterranean mussel). Lineage: Eukaryota; Metazoa; Mollusca; Bivalvia; Mytilida; Mytilidae. The record is from RNAcentral.